CAGCCGCCGCGGUAAUACGAAGGGUGCAAGCGUUGUUCGGAAUCACUGGGCGUAAAGGGAGCGUAGGCGGCGUGGUAAGUCAGAUGUGAAAUCCCGGGGCUCAACCCCGGAACUGCAUCCGAUACUGCCGUGCUAGAGGAUUGGAGAGGUAGCUGGAAUUCUUGGUGUAGCAGUGAAAUGCGUGGAGAUCAAGAGGAACACUCGUGGCGAAAGCGAGCUACUGGACAAUAUCUGACGCUGAGGCUCGAAGGCCAGGGUAGCGAAAGGGAUUAGAUACCCCUGUAGUCCCUGUCUCUUAUAC
RNAcentral lists this ribosomal RNA (301 nucleotides) under uncultured bacterium. RNAcentral describes it as "partial 16S ribosomal RNA". It matches the Rfam family "Bacterial small subunit ribosomal RNA", at positions 509 to 807 of the family's 1533-position model. The record is from RNAcentral.